This 73-nucleotide transfer RNA is filed under the name Candidatus Magnetobacterium bavaricum. It matches the Rfam family "tRNA". From Rfam's summary of the family: Transfer RNA (tRNA) molecules are approximately 80 nucleotides in length. RNAcentral also lists the same sequence under 3 other names. Lineage: Bacteria; Pseudomonadati; Nitrospirota; Thermodesulfovibrionia; Thermodesulfovibrionales; Magnetobacteriaceae (SeqCode). The record is from Rfam by way of RNAcentral.
GUGAGCAUAGCUCAAUGGUCAGAGCACUGGACUGUGGCUCCAGGGGCUGGGGGUUCAAGUCCCCUUGUUCACC